CUCUGUGACUCCUACGGGAGGCAGCAGUGGGGAAUAUUGCACAAUGGGCGCAAGCCUGAUGCAGCCAUGCCGCGUGUGUGAAGAAGGCCUUCGGGUUGUAAAGCACUUUCAGUAGGGAGGAAGGUAGUGUAGUUAACACCUGCACUAUUUGACGUUACCUACAGAAGAAGCACCGGCUAACUCCGUGCCAGCAGCCGCGGUAAUACGGAGGGUGCGAGCGUUAAUCGGAAUUACUGGGCGUAAAGCGCAUGCAGGCGGCCUGUUAAGUCAGAUGUGAAAGCCCGGGGCUUAACCUCGGAAUUGCAUUUGAAACUGGCAGGCUAGAGUCUUGUAGAGGGGGUAGAAUUUCAGGUGUAGCGGUGAAAUGCGUAGAGAUCUGAAGGAAUACCAGUGGCGAAGGCGGCCCCCUGGACAAAGACUGACGCUCAGAUGCGAAAGCGUGGGGAGCAAACAGGAUUAGAUACCCUGGUAG
RNAcentral lists this ribosomal RNA (472 nucleotides) under uncultured bacterium. Its description in RNAcentral is "bacterial SSU rRNA". It matches the Rfam family "Bacterial small subunit ribosomal RNA", at positions 328 to 793 of the family's 1533-position model. The record is from RNAcentral.